GACGAACGCUGGCGGCGUGCUUAACACAUGCAAGUCGAACGGAAAGGCCCUGCGUUGGUGGGGUGCUCGAGUGGCGAACGGGUGAGGAGCACGAGAGUAACCUGCCCUUGACUUUGGGAUAACUUCAUGAAACUGGGGCUAAUACCUGAUAGGAUCUCCUGCUGCAUGGGGGGGGUUGGAUAGUUUCGGCGGUUGGGGAUGGACUCGCGGCUUAUCAGCUUGUUGGUGGGGUAGUGGCUUACCAAGGCCUUGACGGGUAGCCGGCCUGAGAGGGUGACCGGCCACAUUGGGACUGAGAUACGGCCCAGACUCCUACGGGAGGCAGCAGUGGGGAAUAUUGCACAAUGGGCGGAAGCCUGAUGCAGCGACGCCGCGUGCGGGAUGACGGCCUUCGGGUUGUAAACCGCUUUCGCCUGUGACGAAGCGUGAGUGACGGUAAUGGGUAAAGAAGCACCGGCUAACUACGUG
RNAcentral lists this ribosomal RNA (468 nucleotides) under uncultured bacterium. RNAcentral describes it as "partial 16S ribosomal RNA". It matches the Rfam family "Bacterial small subunit ribosomal RNA", at positions 28 to 507 of the family's 1533-position model. The record is from RNAcentral.